AGAGUUUGAUCCUGGCUCAGGACGAACGCUGGCGGCGUGCUUAACACAUGCAAGUCGAGCGGUAAGGCCUUUCGGGGUACACGAGCGGCGAACGGGUGAGUAACACGUGGGUGAUCUGCCCUGCACUCUGGGAUAAGCUUGGGAAACUGGGUCUAAUACCGGAUAUGACCACAGCAUGCAUGUGUUGUGGUGGAAAGAUUUAUCGGUGCAGGAUGGGCCCGCGGCCUAUCAGCUUGUUGGUGGGGUAAUGGCCUACCAAGGCGACGACGGGUAGCCGACCUGAGAGGGUGACCGGCCACACUGGGACUGAGACACGGCCCAGACUCCUACGGGAGGCAGCAGUGGGGAAUAUUGCACAAUGGGCGGAAGCCUGAUGCAGCGACGCCGCGUGAGGGAUGAAGGCCUUCGGGUUGUAAACCUCUUUCAGCAGGGACGAAGCGUGAGUGACGGUACCUGCAGAAGAAGCACCGGCUAACUACGUGCCAGCAGCCGCGGUAAUACGUAGGGUGCGAGCGUUGUCCGGAAUUACUGGGCGUAAAGAGUUCGUAGGCGGUUUGUCGCGUCGUUUGUGAAAACCCGGGGCUCAACUUCGGGCUUGCAGGCGAUACGGGCAGACUUGAGUGUUUCAGGGGAGACUGGAAUUCCUGGUGUAGCGGUGAAAUGCGCAGAUAUCAGGAGGAACACCGGUGGCGAAGGCGGGUCUCUGGGAAACAACUGACGCUGAGGAACGAAAGCGUGGGUAGCAAACAGGAUUAGAUACCCUGGUAGUCCACGCCGUAAACGGUGGGCGCUAGGUGUGGGUUCCUUCCACGGGAUCUGUGCCGUAGCUAACGCAUUAAG
Molecule: ribosomal RNA, 840 nt
Filed under: Rhodococcoides fascians
Lineage: Bacteria; Bacillati; Actinomycetota; Actinomycetes; Mycobacteriales; Nocardiaceae
Description: bacterial SSU rRNA
Rfam family: Bacterial small subunit ribosomal RNA
Source: RNAcentral